GACAACUCUAGAGAUAGAGCUUUCCCCUUCGGGGGACAAAGUGACAGGUGGUGCAUGGUUGUCGUCAGCUCGUGUCGUGAGAUGUUGGGUUAAGUCCCGCAACGAGCGCAACCCUUAAGCUUAGUUGCCAUCAUUAAGUUGGGCACUCUAAGUUGACUGCCGGUGACAAACCGGAGGAAGGUGGGGAUGACGUCAAAUCAUCAUGCCCCUUAUGAUUUGGGCUACACACGUGCUACAAUGGACA
This 244-nucleotide ribosomal RNA is filed under the name Staphylococcus aureus. RNAcentral's name for it is "partial 16S ribosomal RNA". It matches the Rfam family "Bacterial small subunit ribosomal RNA", at positions 993 to 1236 of the family's 1533-position model. Lineage: Bacteria; Bacillati; Bacillota; Bacilli; Caryophanales; Staphylococcaceae. The record is from RNAcentral.